GCAUAUCAAUAAGCGGAGGAAAAGAAACUAACAAGGAUUCCCUUAGUAACGGCGAGUGAACCGGGAAAAGCUCAAAUUUGUAAUCUGGCUGUCUUCGAUAGUCCGAGUUGUAAUCUAUAGACGUGUUUUCCGUGCUGGACCGUAUCUAAGUCCCUUGGAACAGGGUAUCAAAGAGGGUGACAAUCCCGUGCUUGAUACGACCACCAGUGCUCUGUGAUACACGCUCUACGAGUCGAGUUGUUUGGGAAUGCAGCUCAAAAUGGGUGGUAAAUUCCAUCUAAAGCUAAAUAUUGGCGAGAGACCGAUAGCGAACAAGUACCGUGAGGGAAAGAUGAAAAGCACUUUGGAAAGAGAGUUAAACAGUACGUGAAAUUGUUGAAAGGGAAACGAUUGAAGUCAGUCGUGUUCUUUGGAUUCAGCUAGUUCUUCUAGUCUACUUCCUUUGAACGGGUCAACAUCAGUUUUGUCCGGUGGAUAAAGAUAGUAGGAAUGUAGCUCCCUCGGGAGUGUUAUAGACUAUUAUUGCAUGCACUGGGUGAGACUGAGGACUGCAGCUCGCCUUUUGGCCGGCCUUCGGGUACGUUCGAGCUUAGGAUGUUGACAUAAUGGCUUUAAACG
Molecule: ribosomal RNA, 618 nt
Filed under: Cutaneotrichosporon moniliiforme
Lineage: Eukaryota; Fungi; Basidiomycota; Tremellomycetes; Trichosporonales; Trichosporonaceae
Description: LSU rRNA
Rfam family: Eukaryotic large subunit ribosomal RNA
Source: RNAcentral